RNAcentral lists this long non-coding RNA (605 nucleotides) under Nicotiana benthamiana. RNAcentral's name for it is "long non-coding RNA (NBEN_LNC016883)". Lineage: Eukaryota; Viridiplantae; Streptophyta; Magnoliopsida; Solanales; Solanaceae. The record is from RNAcentral.
UUUUGUUUCUACGCAACCAAUACAAUCUACCUUAUGUUUAUUUAGAAAGAGUCUCAACUCCUUCUGUUUAUGGGCCUUAUUUAGGCCCCUUAUGUUCUAUGUGCAGAUAAUCAUGUUUGGGUAAAGCUGGAAGGGCCAGCAUCCCCUGGAUCAACACCUCUAUGCAUUAAAGAGAAACUGUUGGUUGUAUUCACUAGAGCAUCAACAAAUUGUUGUACAGUCUUGCCUUUUAACGAUCCUCUGCUGCUUACCCUGUUAUCAGCAUGUUCCUUUUGUUUUCCAGCCUCAUCUGAUUCUACAGUUGUUAUCAUUGCACUUUCCUUCCUUGUUCUAGGUACCCACUGCCAUAUAUCAGUUUGUGCUUUCUGUUUAGGCACAGCAGCCUUGUGUCAGACACACUUUCCUUCCCUGUUCUAGGUACCCACUGCCAUAUAUUAGUUUGUGCUUUCUGUUUAGGCACAGCAGCCUUGUGUCGGACCUUUGCUCCCUGCUCAUUUCCUUGCCUCUUCUUAUACCAGCAGUCCUCAGUACAAUGACCAAAUCUAACACAGUCUCUACAGAAUUUGGGCCUCCAUUCAUAGUCAAUCUCUUGUACAAGAACCCCC